Molecule: ribosomal RNA, 204 nt
Filed under: uncultured Anoxybacillus sp.
Lineage: Bacteria; Bacillati; Bacillota; Bacilli; Caryophanales; Anoxybacillaceae
Description: partial 16S ribosomal RNA
Rfam family: Bacterial small subunit ribosomal RNA
Source: RNAcentral
AUGACGUCAAGUCCUCAUGGCCCUUAUGCCCUGGGCUACACACGUGCUACAAUGGGCGGUACAAAGGGUCGCGAACCCGCGAGGGGGAGCCAAUCCCAAAAAGCCGCUCUCAGUUCGGAUUGCAGGCUGCAACUCGCCUGCAUGAAGCCGGAAUCGCUAGUAAUCGCGGAUCAGCAUGCCGCGGUGAAUACGUUCCCGGGCCUU